RNAcentral lists this ribosomal RNA (253 nucleotides) under uncultured bacterium. Its description in RNAcentral is "partial 16S ribosomal RNA". It matches the Rfam family "Bacterial small subunit ribosomal RNA", at positions 524 to 776 of the family's 1533-position model. The record is from RNAcentral.
UACGUAGGGUGCAAGCGUUAAUCGGAAUUACUGGGCGUAAAGCGUGCGCAGACGGUCAUGUAAGUCGGGUGUGAAAGCCCCGGGCUCAACCUGGGAAUUGCAUUCGAGACUGUGUGGCUAGGGUGCGGAAGAGGGAAGCGGAAUUUCCGGUGUAGCGGUGAAAUGCGUAGAUAUCGGAAGGAACACCAGUGGCGAAAGCGGCUUCCUGGUCCAGCACCGACGUUCAGGCACGAAAGCGUGGGGAGCAAACAGG